Propithecus coquereli (Coquerel's sifaka) is the source of this 1948-nucleotide long non-coding RNA. RefSeq lists it as uncharacterized. The transcript is spliced from 3 exons. Lineage: Eukaryota; Metazoa; Chordata; Mammalia; Primates; Indriidae. The record is from RefSeq and is a predicted model, not a curated record.
CCCCCCGACCCAGCCCCAGGGCAGCCGGCCCCACCUACGAGGAACUGCUACACCCUGACACAAACAUGUACUGCCGGAUCGACCACAGAGCAGAUGUGGCUUCUUAGCUUCCUCCAGGAACUGCCCCUGUGGGCUGACGGAGGGUCCCCUAAGUCCCCAACCCUGUGGAGGAGGCAGGACAUGGAGCCUGAGCCAGAGAAUCAGCUGAGUCCUGGGCAGCCUCUGGGUCCUGUGGCUGGGGAUGGGGGUCCCUCCUGGUGUCUGCACACCUGGACGGGCUGCCAGGGCUCUGGGAUAAGGCCUCCUGUCACCACAGGAAGUAGGGCUUCCAGGGACAGUGAAUGGGCUUGUGGCACCAAGGACCACCUGGAAAGGACUGAAUAAAGAGGACCCUCCGCUCGCUGGCUCUCUUUCUGCUCAUGGGAACUUAGCAGAAAUUCACUCAGUCCAUGUGCGCUCAGUCCUGGGUCACACAGGGAAAAUACUGUCCCUACGUCACCCCAACCCCGGUCUCUCUUCCCUUGGAGACAGGAGUCGGGGGUUGGGACUCAGGAUGGGGUGGACCACACACAGGGGAGGGUGACAUCCACGAGAGCCUGCCCAGGCCGCAGCGCUCAGCUGUCCUCACACCACCCCAGGGACCAGGGCACCAGGGACAGCUCCCAGCCUUCGCCCCUCCGUGGAUGCGCAUUGGGUCUCAGGGGCACAGAAGACGGGGCCAUCCGAUGUCACACACAGAUGGGCAAGGACAGAGCACCCCCGGGCGGUGCAGGUCAGGUGCCACAUUCUCCCCAACAAGCCCGUCCGCACACUGAAGCCCAGAGUCACAGUUCCUGAGGAUGUUCUGCUACUGCUGAGUGUCAUUUGUCCUGAGCUGAGAGGGCUGAUUUCUGCACCUGGGGUGUGACCUGGGCGAGGCUGAGAGCCCAUGCUGGCCUCCUGGCGAGUCUCCCUGGCCCAGAGACUCAGGCUGCUAUUCUGCCUACAAUGUGGUGGGAACCUUCCAUGAUUAAUUUCUGACCCCACUCCCAUGCCUGACCUUGAAACCUCACCCAUCACCCGGCCUGGAGCAGCUCUUGAGCAAGCGUCCUGCUCCCCGACCCCAGCUGAGCGUCCUUUCAUGUGCUCGUUGACUAUUUGUAUAUCUUCUUUGGAGAAAUGCCUAUUUGAGUCCUUUGCCUAUUUUUAGUGAGCCUGGUGAGGCUCACUGGAUGCUUGCCUUGGGUGAGGGUGUCAGGACUGGGUGGUUGUCAUUGUUCUGAAGUUUGCAUGAUGUGGACCCAGGCGUCCAGGGACCCAGAGCACAAGGCCCCUGGUGAGGGGAAGGUCGGAUGGGGCUGAACAGGUUCACGUGAUCAAAAUGGGAAGGACUCCUCAACCUCACCUGUCAGAGCUGUGGCUGUGUCUAGGAGAGAUGACAAGGGUGACCCAGGACAGAGACACUGAGUGUGAGGAUAGGGCCCAGAAGACCCUGGUGGCUGCUCAGAUGCAGGAUGUUAGGAUCGAUCUGUUCCCAUCCAAGGAAAAGAAGCCCCCAGUGUUCCCUGCUGACCCUUACACAGCAUCUUGGGUGGUAUGAGUGUCACACUGACAGGGACCAAAAAACACACCAGAGUUGAUUUACCAAGACUAGUUGUGCAAAAUGCUUUUCUUGCAUUAAUCUUAAAUUUGGAAAGGAAAGAGGAGACAAUAAUUUUUACUGUCUGCUUAACUGGAGACCAGAGAGGUCGAAAUCGGGAGUCUGACUGGUCAAAAGCGCUUUCCCACUUUGCUGGCUCCAUCGGGCCCUGGAUGCCCUUCCCUACAGCCUUCAGAAGGGCAGAGCGGCUUUGAUGACCCUGCUCGCUGUGCCACACUGUGGGGGCAAAGGCAAAACCGUUACCAAAAAUUUGGUCCUUGUGCCCAAGGCCAAAUCAGUGAGAAAGAAGGAGGAGGACAAGUGGUUUGA